AACCGGGAGAGGUAAGAGGUACUACAGGGGUAGGAGUGAAAUCUUGUAAUCCCUGUGGGACCGACCUGUGGCGAAGGCGUCUUACCAGAACGGGUUCGACGGUGAGGGACGAAAGCUGGGGGCACGAACCGGAUUAGAUACCCGGGUAGUCCCAGCCGUAAACGAUGCUCGCUAGGUGUCAGGCAUGGCGCGACCGUGUCUGGUGCCGCAGGGAAGCCGUGAAGCGAGCCACCUGGGAAGUACGGCCGCAAGGCUGAAACUUAAAGGAAUUGGCGGGGGAGCACAACAACGGGUGGAAGCCUGCGGUUUAAUUGGACUCAACGCCGGACAACUCACCGGGGGCGACAGCAAUAUGUAGGCCAAGCUGAAGACUUUGCCUGAAUCGCUGAGGAGAGGUGGUGCAUGG
RNAcentral lists this ribosomal RNA (406 nucleotides) under uncultured archaeon. RNAcentral describes it as "bacterial SSU rRNA". It matches the Rfam family "Archaeal small subunit ribosomal RNA", at positions 597 to 997 of the family's 1478-position model. The record is from RNAcentral.